GUUUUCUUGUUCAGCGAGUCACCUGCUCCUGAAAAUCAAAUAAGAGCUUUGCAGUUGGAGGCAAGCUUUCUUCGAAACCAAAUCAUUUCUGCACGUAAAGAAAACAAAGAAUGAGUAGAGGAAGUGGAGGUGGAUACGAUCGUCACAUCACCAUCUUCUCCCCUGAAGGUCGACUCUUUCAAGUCGAAUAUGCGUUUAAGGCAGUGAAGGCGGCAGCCAUCACUUCGAUCGGAGUUCGGGGGAAGGACUCUGUCUGUGUUGUCACGCAGAAGAAGGUUCCGGACAAGCUUUUGGAUCAGACUAGUGUCACCCACCUUUUUCCUAUUACCAAGUACCUCGGAUUGCUGGCUACCGGCAUGACAGCUGAUGCAAGGACUUUAGUUCAACAAGCGCGGAAUGAGGCAGCUGAGUUUCGGUUCAGAUAUGGAUAUGAAAUGCCUGUGGAUGUAUUGGCCAAGUGGAUUGCCGACAAAUCACAGGUUUACACACAGCAUGCUUACAUGAGACCCCUUGGAGUAAUUGCCCUGGUUUUGGGUAUUGAUGAGGAGAAUGGACCUCAACUCUACAAGUGUGAUCCAGCUGGCCACUUUUAUGGUCACAAGGCUACCAGUGCUGGAUUGAAAGAACAAGAGGCUAUCAAUUUUUUGGAAAAGAAAAUGAAAAAUGACCCCGCU
Molecule: unclassified non-coding RNA, 674 nt
Filed under: Hevea brasiliensis (rubber tree)
Lineage: Eukaryota; Viridiplantae; Streptophyta; Magnoliopsida; Malpighiales; Euphorbiaceae
Source: RNAcentral